UACGGAGGGUGCAAGCGUUAUCCGGAUUUACUGGGUUUAAAGGGUGCGUAGGCGGGCCUUUAAGUCAGUGGUGAAAUCUCCCCGCUCAACGGGGAAACUGCCAUUGAUACUAUUGGUCUUGAAUUUAGUUGAGGUGGGCGGAAUGUGUCGUGUAGCGGUGAAAUGCUUAGAUAUGACACAGAACACCGAUUGCGAAGGCAGCUCGCUAAACUAAUAUUGACGCUGAGGCACGAAAGCGUGGGGAUCAAACGGG
Molecule: ribosomal RNA, 253 nt
Filed under: uncultured bacterium
Lineage: Bacteria
Description: partial 16S ribosomal RNA
Rfam family: Bacterial small subunit ribosomal RNA
Source: RNAcentral